Calypte anna (Anna's hummingbird) is the source of this 1113-nucleotide RNA transcript. RefSeq lists it as uncharacterized. The transcript has 5 exons. The record is from RefSeq and is a predicted model, not a curated record. NCBI's taxonomy places the organism in Eukaryota, Metazoa, Chordata, Aves, Apodiformes, Trochilidae.
GGAAAUAGGGAAUGGGCUGGGUAAGCAGAAUGGGAUCAUCGAUGACCUCACCAGCUUGGUUGAAAACACAGACGACAAAAUUCGCAACCAGACCCGGCAUGUGAAGGUGGUGGACAAGAAAUCAACGUCCUGUGGGAUGCUGGUGGUGAUUGUGCUGCUGCUGAUUGCCAUUGCUGUGGUUGCUGUCUGGCCAUCACACUAACCUGGAGCUGGGGCCCUGGGACCUCCUGCUCCCCAGCUGGGUGUGGAGCACUCCGAAGAAGAGCCCAGCUUUUCCAGAGACUUCUUGUGUUGCAGAUGAACUCCUCAGUCUGAGUAUGAAGCUGUGCCUGACAGACAGCCCUUCUGCCUUCAGUGCACAGCUGAAGAGCACUGGGGGAUUUGGAGGGUUGGAAGGGGAAAAGGACCCUCUUCCCACCUUCCCUUGGUGCUUGGGAGGCUGCAGCUGGCUCUGCCAGAGCUGCACAGCUCCAGGGAUCUGCUCCUGGAGUUGGGGAGAUGCCUGCCCAGCCCACCACCCCUUUUCUUCAGUGGUCACUCAUCCCAAGGACCUCAAAAUGCUCGAAUACAGGUGUGGUUUGGGGGUACAGCCUCAGUGCUCCUGUGCUUUCUGAUACCUUCCCUCAAAACCCAAAUGCUUACUUUUUUCAAGGUGUAGGUGAUGUGGGGAAUGGCUGCAUCCGGGCUGCUGGCAGGAUGGGAAGCAAGAGCCCUGCAGGGAGGGAGGCACAGGAACCCCACCAACCAUCCAGAAAUCUGGAGGGGGAGUCAGUCCUUGGCCCUGGGGGCGAGUUCUUGGUGUUGAUCUCCUCAGAGGGAUGUGAACAGCAGCAGUGCCAGCCCAGGUACAGCCGGGGGAGAGGAUGCUCCCCCCAUGCCCCCUGCAGGAGGUGUCCUGGCACCACCUUUCCAGGGCUGCCUCUUUCUUUUCUAACAUUUCACACACUGUUAAACCCGAGGGGAAGGCUUACCUACUCAGUAACUAAUGAAAAAUCAGUAUCAACAGUUUGCUUCUGGCCAAAAAAAAUGGUUAUUUUGUUAUACGUGCUGGUUUGAUUUCAGAAUUGAUAGAGCAAGCAAUAAAUACUGAAUAAAAGCCAAGCUGUUUCUAUA